RNAcentral lists this ribosomal RNA (531 nucleotides) under Diodon holocanthus (long-spine porcupinefish). RNAcentral describes it as "partial 16S ribosomal RNA". It matches the Rfam family "Bacterial large subunit ribosomal RNA", at positions 1846 to 2577 of the family's 2925-position model. The record is from RNAcentral. Lineage: Eukaryota; Metazoa; Chordata; Actinopteri; Tetraodontiformes; Diodontidae.
UAAGAGGUCCCGCCUGCCCUGUGACUAUAUGUUUAACGGCCGCGGUAUUUUGACCGUGCGAAGGUAGCGCAAUCACUUGUCCUUUAAAUGGGGACCUGUAUGAAUGGCACGACGAGGGCUUAACUGUCUCCUCUUUUAGGUCAAUGAAAUUGAUCUCUCCGUGCAGAAGCGGAGAUACAACCAUAAGACGAGAAGACCCUGUGGAGCUUUAGACACCAAAACAGACCAUGUUAAACACCCUAAAACAAAAGGCCAAACUUAAUGCCCCCUGCCUUGAUGUCUUCGGUUGGGGUGACCGAGGAGAAGAACACAACCUCCAUGCGGAAUAGGAGUACUACUCCCACAACCAUGAACCCCCGUUCUAAUCACCAGAAUUUCUGACCCUACGAUCCGGCAACGCCGAUUAACGAACCAAGUUACCCCAGGGAUAACAGCGCAAUCCCCUUUUAGAGCCCCUAUCAACAAGGGGGUUUACGACCUCGAUGUUGGAUCAGGACAUCCUAAUGGCGCAGCCGCUAUUAAGGGUUCGUU